This 557-nucleotide ribosomal RNA is filed under the name Bacillus sp. SPA IA900339. Its description in RNAcentral is "bacterial SSU rRNA". It matches the Rfam family "Bacterial small subunit ribosomal RNA", at positions 943 to 1501 of the family's 1533-position model. Lineage: Bacteria; Bacillati; Bacillota; Bacilli; Caryophanales; Bacillaceae. The record is from RNAcentral.
GGUUUAUUCGAAGCAACGCGAAGAACCUUACCGGGUCUUGACAUCCUCUGAAAACCCUAGAGAUAAGGCUUCUCCUUCGGGAGCAGAGUGACAGGUGGUGCAUGGUUGUCGUCAGCUCGUGUCGUGAGAUGUUGGGUUAAGUCCCGCAACGAGCGCAACCCUUGAUCUUAGUUGCCAUCAUUAAGUUGGGCACUCUAAGGUGACUGCCGGUGACAAACCGGAGGAAGGUGGGGAUGACGUCAAAUCAUCAUGCCCCUUAUGACCUGGGCUACACACGUGCUACAAUGGACGGUACAAAGAGCUGCAAGACCGCGAGGUGGAGCUAAUCUCAUAAAACCGUUCUCAGUUCGGAUUGUAGGCUGCAACUCGCCUACAUGAAGCUGGAAUCGCUAGUAAUCGCGGAUCAGCAUGCCGCGGUGAAUACGUUCCCGGGCCUUGUACACACCGCCCGUCACACCACGAGAGUUUGUAACACCCGAAGUCGGUGGGGUAACCUUUUUGGAGCCAGCCGCCUAAGGUGGGACAGAUGAUUGGGGUGAAGUCGUAACAAGGGUAAC